RNAcentral lists this ribosomal RNA (520 nucleotides) under Neosticta silvarum. Its description in RNAcentral is "SSU rRNA". It matches the Rfam family "Eukaryotic small subunit ribosomal RNA", at positions 631 to 1126 of the family's 1831-position model. Lineage: Eukaryota; Metazoa; Arthropoda; Insecta; Odonata; Isostictidae. The record is from RNAcentral.
UAGUCGGAGGUGUGUCUCGGACGGUCGGUUCGCCGCUUGUCGGUGCUCAACUGGCCGGUCCGGACGUCCUGCCGGUGGGGCCGUGAGGCUCCGUUAUCCUUCUUUGGUCCUCUUCACCGAGUGCCUUGGUGGGCCGGCACGUUUACUUUGAACAAAUUAGAGUGCUCAAAGCAGGCCGUUGGUCGCCUGAAUACUGUGUGCAUGGAAUAAUGGAAUAGGACCUCGGUUCCAUUUUGUUGGUUUUCAGAACUCGAGGUAAUGAUUAAUAGGGACGGACGGGGGCAUUCGUAUUGCGACGUUAGAGGUGAAAUUCUUGGAUCGUCGCAAGACGAACCGAUGCGAAAGCAUUUGCCAAGAACGUUUUCGUUGAUCAAGAACGAAAGUUAGAGGUUCGAAGGCGAUCAGAUACCGCCCUAGUUCUAACCAUAAACGAUGCCAGCUAGCCAUCCGCCGAAGUUCCUUCUAUGACUCGGCGGGCAGCUUCCGGGAAACCAAAGCUCUUGGGUUCCGGGGGAAGUAU